UGGGGAAUAUUGGACAAUGGGCGCAAGCCUGAUCCAGCCAUGCCGCGUGAGUGAUGAAGGCCUUCGGGUCGUAAAGCUCUGUCGGAGGGAACGAAUGCUCCUGAAGUUAACAGCCUCAGGAGGUGACGGUACCCUCAAAGGAAGCACCGGCUAACUCUGUGCCAGCAGCCGCGGUAAUACGUAGGGACCAAGCGUUGUUCGGAUUUACUGGGCGUAAAGGGCGCGUAGGCGGCAUGACAAGUCACUUGUGAAAUCUCUGGGCUUAACCCAGAACGGCCAAGUGAUACUGUCGCGCUAGAGUGCAGAAGGGGCAAUCGGAAUUCUUGGUGUAGCGGUGAAAUGCGUAGAUAUCAAGGGGAACACCUGGGGUGAAGACGGGUUGCUGGGCUGACACUGACGCUGAGGCGCGAAAGCCAGGGGAGCAAACGGGAUUAGAUACCCCCGUAGUCCCUGAGCGGGCUGGCAAGGCGCAU
RNAcentral lists this ribosomal RNA (473 nucleotides) under uncultured bacterium. RNAcentral's name for it is "bacterial SSU rRNA". It matches the Rfam family "Bacterial small subunit ribosomal RNA", at positions 355 to 825 of the family's 1533-position model. The record is from RNAcentral.